This 165-nucleotide ribosomal RNA is filed under the name uncultured bacterium. RNAcentral describes it as "partial 16S rRNA". It matches the Rfam family "Bacterial small subunit ribosomal RNA", at positions 355 to 511 of the family's 1533-position model. The record is from RNAcentral.
UAGGGAAUCUUCGGCAAUGGGGGCGAACCCUGACCGAGCAACGCCGCGUGAGUGAAGAAGGUUUCGGAUCGUAAAGCUCUGUUGUAAGAGAAGAACGUGUGUGAGAGUGGAAAGUUCACACAGUGACGGUAACUUACCAGAAAGGGACGGCUAACUACGUGCCAG